GAUGAACGCUGGCGGCGUGCCUAAUACAUGCAAGUCGAGCGAACGGACGAGAAGCUUGCUUCUCUGAUGUUAGCGGCGGACGGGUGAGUAACACGUGGAUAACCUACCUAUAAGACUGGGAUAACUUCGGGAAACCGGAGCUAAUACCGGAUAAUAUUUUGAACCGCAUGGUUCAAAAGUGAAAGACGGUCUUGCUGUCACUUAUAGAUGGAUCCGCGCUGCAUUAGCUAGUUGGUAAGGUAACGGCUUACCAAGGCAACGAUGCAUAGCCUACCUGAGAGGGUGAUCGGCCACACUGGAACUGAGACACGGUCCAGACUCCUACGGGAGGCAGCAGUAGGGAAUCUUCCGCAAUGGGCGAAAGCCUGACGGAGCAACGCCGCGUGAAUGAUGAAGGUCUUCGGAUCGUAAAACUCUGUUAUUAGGGAAGAACAUAUGUGUAAGUAACUGUGCACAUCUUGACGGUACCUAAUCAGAAAGCCACGGCUAACUACGUG
Molecule: ribosomal RNA, 497 nt
Filed under: uncultured bacterium
Lineage: Bacteria
Description: partial 16S ribosomal RNA
Rfam family: Bacterial small subunit ribosomal RNA
Source: RNAcentral